Molecule: ribosomal RNA, 465 nt
Filed under: uncultured bacterium
Lineage: Bacteria
Description: partial 16S ribosomal RNA
Rfam family: Bacterial small subunit ribosomal RNA
Source: RNAcentral
GACGAACGCUGGCGGCGUGCUUAAUACAUGCAAGUCGAACGGAAAGGCCCUGCUUGCAGGGUACUCGAGUGGCGAACGGGUGAGUAACACGUGGGUGAUCUGCCCUGCACUUCGGGAUAAGCCUGGGAAACUGGGUCUAAUACCGGACAGGAGCCAUUUUUAGUGUGAUGGUUGGAAAGUUUUUUCGGUGUAGGAUGAGCUCGCGGCCUAUCAGCUUGUUGGUGGGGUAAUGGCCUACCAAGGCGGCGACGGGUAGCCGGCCUGAGUGGGUGGACGGCCACAUUGGGACUGAGAUACGGCCCAGACUCCGACGGGAGGCAGCAGUGGGGAAUAUUGCACAAUGGGCGCAGGCCUGAUGCAGCGGCGCCGCGUGGGGGAUGACGGCCUUCGGGUUGUAAACUCCUUUCGCUAGGGACGAAGCUUUUUGUGACGGUACCUAGAUAAGAAGCACCGGCUAACUACGUG